GUAAUUCUCCUACUCGCUCGGUGUCUGAUAUUUGUAUUAAAGUUUAACUAAAUUUGCAUCCGUUUCGAAAAGUCUCAUAUUGAGUAUAAAAUAUUUUCUAACAAAGACAACUUCAUACUUAACCUGAAACCUCUAAUUAAGAAUAAAAAAGUAAUUAUCACUCCACUGCGACCGUAUUAUAGUUGAUAUAUCUGAGUAGAUGGCUGUUUAGGUUAAUUCUUUGAAAAAAGAUUGAUAAAAAGCAUUUCUUUUUUUUAGGUGAAUUGAAGUAAUUUAAUGGUCGGAAAAUCUGAGUAACUCAAUUAGUUGACUAUCUGAAUUUUAAUUUUAUUGACGAGGAUUUAAAUUUUCUUUUAAUUUUUUUUAGGUUGCUGAGAUUGUGAUGAAAAGGGCUUUUUUUGAAGCAAGAAUGUUGGUGAGGGGUUUGUUAAGAAUUCUAUCAACAAGAAUUGGGAGUUUGUUACUUUGUGGAUUAUUUUGUUUUGGAAAAAGUUGGCCUUAUAUUAACAAAUUCUCUGAUAUUUCAUUGGAUAAAAGAGAAAUUGUGAUGCAAAAAUGGUUCAACAACAGAUUUUUUACUCCUGUUAGAUUGGCAUUUGUGUUUGUCAAAUUCUUGUGUCUAUACAUCUUCUUUACUCAGGUAAUUCUCCUACUCGCUCGGUGUCUGAUAUUUGUAUUAAAGUUUAACUAAAUUUGCAUCCGUUUCGAAAAGUCUCAUAUUGAGUAUAAAAUAUUUUCUAACAGGCCUUUUUGUCCUUUCCACCUUUUACCUCUAAUUAAGAAUAAAAAAGUAAUUAUCACUCCAACGCGACCGUAUUGAUUUUAUAACUUUUUUUUAGUCUAAACAUGACCCAUAGUUUUUGCAGGGCUUUGUUGUCUUUUUCACCUUUUUUACUUUGUAUUUUUCUUGAGUCUAAACAAGGGCAUGGCACAUGGUUUUUGCAGGGCCUUUUUGUCCUUUCCACCUUUUUAAAAUAUAUUUUUAUCUUGAUAUUUCAGUUACUGAUUAAUUCUAAUUUUAGUCCUUAUAAUAUUUGAUAAAGUAUUUACUAACCUUCGACUAUUUUUAAAAUGUGAAUUUUUAAUCCUUUUGCUGAUGAAUAUUCAUAAAUUUCCAGAAUUAAUAACCAUUCCACUGUUUAAUUAUCCAAUUCUAUGUUAAAUUCGUAUUGAAAUUCUAUAUUUGAAGAUAAUGUACUUCUUAAAAUAGUUCAAAUAUAACAUUUUCUACCUAAAGGAAUCAAAAGCAUAUAUUUUAAUUAAUCAAAAGUUAUAUGUGUUCGAGUCAUUUAUCACGAGGAUCAAAAUCAGAAUUUACGAAUAAUCAAGAAAUGUUAUUCUCCGUUUUUUUGUGAUAUGGGGGCAACAUGCUAAGUUAGAAAUCUCAAGGUACCAUAUAAUAUUAUGCUAAGUAUUUUAUAAAAAUAUCUUUCUUGAUUUUGGAAUUAACAAAUUCCUAUAAAUUUGUUUUGCUCAAUAUAGCCAACUUGACUUGAGUGUCCAUAAAGAAUUGGUCACUAGGAAGUUUCAUAUUUUAAUUAUAUCUGAAAUUGUGCUAGCAUCAUGUUUUUAAAAUUUUACUUAUUUUAUUUUCAAAGCUUCUUAAAAUCCAACCUUUCUUGAUAGGUUGAAAAAGAUUUCACCGAUCGUGCAUUUACAUCAAAUCAAAUUAGUUUAUCGUGAUUAGCGAUAAAAAAUGAAAAAUAUGUAUUAAUUAAUGAAAGUUCAGGUAGUCAACCAUUAGAGGUAAAGGGUAUUAAAUAUGAUAUUUUUAAAUGAAUUUGACAAAAAAAAAACUAUUAUUUUGGGAAAAUGACCUUUCCAUUACUAGCUUAUCCCAUUAGAACACAUGAUAUGCAAAAAAGCCUUAUAUGGACAAUUUGAAAGUCAAAACAUGUGACUAGUGAAGAUGACUUAUACUUUAUUGAUCACUGUUUAUUUAUUGAAAAAUAUCACUUUUAAUUAUUUUUUAAAAGAAGUUAGGUGGUUGAAAAUGAUAACUCAUUUAUUUGGAGUUUUUAUUAUAAUAGGUAACUUUUUAUAUGGACCAAUUUCUUCUUUCAAUAGAAUAGAAAAAAGGACACUUCAUUGUUAAUUUGGUCCCAAGAUUUUGAUGUGCAUCUUUUUUGUUACACUAAAAACAACAUCAACAACUAGAUUGAUUCUCUUUAUUAUGAGCUAUGUUACUCGAACUCUUCAAAUAUACUGGAUGCGCGU
RNAcentral lists this long non-coding RNA (2217 nucleotides) under Solanum tuberosum (potato). RNAcentral describes it as "long non-coding RNA (STUB_LNC009419)". Lineage: Eukaryota; Viridiplantae; Streptophyta; Magnoliopsida; Solanales; Solanaceae. The record is from RNAcentral.